GGUUCUUUACCACUAGCACCACCUAGGAAGCCCACUAUAGAGCAAAUGAUUCUAAUGGUUAAUCUUACUAGCAAGGUACUACUGCUGCUGCUGCUGCUAAGUCGCUUCAGUCGUGUCCAACUCUGUGCGACCCCAUAGACGGCAGCCCGCCAGGCUCCCUCGUCCCUGGGAUUCUCCAGGAAUGAAGUGUUACACCCACAUCUCUAUCCUCAAGCUGCCAUCUUCAUGCCCAGAAGUAACCACUAUCCUAAUGAUGAAGCAGGGUAGAAAUAUAUGAAGUCCUCAUCGAAAUUAAUAAACAUUGCCUGUUGAGAUCUCAUAUGCCACUCAGCUGGCAAAUUAAGAUUGGUUCAAAAAUUUAUACAUCAAUUGAGGAUAAACUAAUGAGCUCUGUGUAUGAGGUUGUGUUUAUUUAAAUGGACUGAAUCCAACUCUUCCAUGUUACAAAUGUGCUUGCUACUUGGUCUUCAUAAAAAUAAAAACCACUGUGGUCCUAUGAAUACGAAUGGUAAUACUGUUUUGCACAAAGGAGUAUUAAACACAAUAAUAAACUACUACACAUUACUACCUACCAAUAUUUUAUUCAUUGCCAGAUAAAAUUACGAAGAAUAAUUCUAUUAUUGGCUUCAUAAAUGUAAUUUUAAGGUUUAAAAAAUGUUUUUAAUUGUUGUCUCUGACAUUUUUUUUUGCUUUUGUUAUUCUAUUCUGCUUUAUAUUUCCCACCAUUGAAAAAUGAUAAUACUCAGCUAUGUAAACUGUCUUUAUUAUGGUUUCAUCACUGGGACAUAUUCUAGGUAAUCUUACUACAAAAAAAUAUCCAAAUA
Bubalus bubalis (water buffalo) is the source of this 824-nucleotide long non-coding RNA. RefSeq lists it as uncharacterized. The record is from RefSeq and is a predicted model, not a curated record. Lineage: Eukaryota; Metazoa; Chordata; Mammalia; Artiodactyla; Bovidae. The transcript has 3 exons.